This 292-nucleotide ribosomal RNA is filed under the name uncultured bacterium. RNAcentral describes it as "partial 16S ribosomal RNA". It matches the Rfam family "Bacterial small subunit ribosomal RNA", at positions 505 to 796 of the family's 1533-position model. The record is from RNAcentral.
GUGUCAGCAGCCGCGGUAAUACGAAGGGUGCAAGCGUUAAUCGGAAUUACUGGGCGUAAAGCGUGCGUAGGUGGUUUGUUAAGUCUGUUGUGAAAGCCCUGGGCUCAACCUGGGAAUGGCGAUGGAUACUGGCGAGCUAGAGUGCGGUAGAGGAUGGUGGAAUUCCCGGUGUAGCGGUGAAAUGCGUAGAGAUCGGGAGGAACAUCAAUGGCGAAGGCAGCCAUCUGGACCAGCACUGACACUGAGGCACGAAAGCGUGGGGAGCAAACAGGAUUAGAUACCCUGGUAGUCC